This 564-nucleotide ribosomal RNA is filed under the name uncultured eukaryote. RNAcentral describes it as "SSU rRNA". It matches the Rfam family "Eukaryotic small subunit ribosomal RNA", at positions 21 to 586 of the family's 1831-position model. The record is from RNAcentral.
UGUAGUCAUAUGCUUGUCUCAAAGAUUAAGCCAUGCAUGUCUAAGUAUAAGCAAUUAUACCGCGAAACUGCGAAUGGCUCAUUAAAUCAGUUAUCGUUUAUUUGAUAGUACCUUACUACAUGGAUAACCGUGGUAAUUCUAGAGCUAAUACAUGCUAAAAAUCCCGACUUCGGAAGGGAUGUAUUUAUUAGAUUAAAAACCAAUGCCCUUCGGGGCUCUCUGGUGAUUCAUAAUAACUUCUCGAAUCGCACGGCCUUGCGCCGGCGAUGGUUCAUUCAAAUUUCUGCCCUAUCAACUUUCGACGGCUGGGUCUUGGCCAGCCAUGGUGACAACGGGUAACGGAGGGUUAGGGCUCGACCCCGGAGAAGGAGCCUGAGAAACGGCUACUACAUCCAAGGAAGGCAGCAGGCGCGCAAAUUACCCAAUCCCGACUCGGGGAGGUAGUGACAAUAAAUACUGAUACAGGGCUCUUUUGGGUCUUGUAAUUGGAAUGAGUACAAUUUAAAUCCCUUAACGAGGAACAAUUGGAGGGCAAGUCUGGUAAUCGAAUUCCCCGCGGCCGCC